Cuculus canorus (common cuckoo) is the source of this 2714-nucleotide long non-coding RNA. RefSeq lists it as uncharacterized. The record is from RefSeq and is a predicted model, not a curated record. The transcript is spliced from 2 exons. Lineage: Eukaryota; Metazoa; Chordata; Aves; Cuculiformes; Cuculidae.
AUGGAGGCCACCCACCAGCAUCUCCUGGCGCUCUGGCAUCAGCUGCACCUGGACCCGCGCAGCCUCGGGGUAGCAGGUCAAGCUAUUAAUAAAUGCUGUGUGGUAAUGAUGGUGUACAGUAGGCCAUCCAUCCUCAUCCUCUGCUGGCUUGUCUCCGUGUUCCUAUAUUUGCAAAGGACUGAAAUACUCAGCUGAGCAAUCACUUUAUCUCCAUACAUAUUAUAGAAGCAUAGUUGAGCAAAAGGUUAGAUUUUCAGUUAAGCGUCCUCAGGUGAUCAUACUUGCCAAAAAGCUCCAUACAGCAUGACAGCAAGACUCUCAAGAAUCAAGCAGUAGGGCCACAAAAGAGAAGCCUCACUGCUCACAGAUGGAGAUGCUGAUGGAAUUUCAUAAAAUGGGCAAAAGAUAACUCUCUGACUGCAAGGCUUAGUUCCUGCCACAAAAAAACUUACUGCAAGAAAGGUGUUGUGAAAGAGCUUCUCAAUAUUUGCAAGAUUUUUUGCAGCCAUCAUUAACUGACUUAAAUGUGAGAGUGGCUCCCACUUUCUUCUGUGCAGAGACAGUGAAGAAGUUAUUAGAAAAAGAGUUGCUGUGUAACUGCACUAAGAUCAUGGUAUGAAUAUUUGGUAAUAUUUUUUAAAUGUCAAUUCUGUCACUAUCGAUUAACUGUUUCAAAACAUCUUGUGAGGUGCCUGUAUGUUGCUUAUUAUGCUGUAUGAGGGCACAGUGGGAAUAUUUAUUUAAACAAAGGAUAUAUUUUCAUUGCCGAGAAUCUGGUUUUGAAGGCAGGAGGGGAAAAGGAGACUUAACAGAUUCUUCAGUUCCACAAGAUCUGCAUUCUUGCUUUUAAGUUAAUCACAGUAUGCCAUUAGCAGCCUUACAUGAAACAAUUGCCUAUGUGUGUUACCAUUCUACAACAGCUUAUCCCACAGGGAUCAAAAUAGCAUUUGCUUUGGCUGCAUCAGUGUCAUUGCAUAAGGAUAGCCUCGCUCUAGCUCUUUAUGAAGUUAUUUAAUGUUAUGGUUUUGUUCUUUUGCAAAUACCUGUGCAUUGUUGAUGCUACUUGGUUCCAUAGCUUUGAUAUGAUACCUGGCUGCCUUUUCUGGCUGAAAAGUGUGUAAAAUUUUAAGGCACCUAUUUUCUAUUUUUUUUGAAGUGGCCUAGCUUCAUUCACCUACAAAAUCAGCUCUGUCUAAGCCUAAAGAUGUCUGUUGACCUAUUCAAUUUUUCUUUUAUUACUUAUGCACUCAAAUCUGUAGUGUGGAUGUAGCUGCAGCUGCUUGAUAGUACUGUAGAGUCAGCUCCUCAAUGAGACGCGGCUAUGGUAGAGUAGGAAUAGAAAACGGUAUGAUGAGAGGAGUGCUUUUUCAUAAGAAAAAUUGCAUCUACGUGAAGAAGGACCAGAAAGAUGAAGGAAGCAGACAGGUUGAUAGUUUGCACUGUGCUAAUUAAUUUCAGAAUCUAAAAAUAUCUAGUGAAGGCGUUUGACUUCUUCAUGGCUUUGAAAAUUGGCUUAGGUUUUACAAACUUUUAGGCAACAGAUUAGCUGCUACUGACUUCAAGCAAUCAAUCAACUGAAAGACUUUUAGGUAUACAGAUUACAGCUUUAUAAACAUCUAUCUUAUAGUUAUCUCCUUGAAGUUGCUUCAGGAAUGCUGAUAUUAUUUCACGUCUAUUUUGUAUAGAUUUAUGUUAGGGUGAAAUGGGUGAUUUCUAUGAUGAUGGACAUGAAAAUUGAAAGGUUUAAAAAUAAUAGUUUACUUUAAAAUUUUAGCAGAAAUACAACAGUAUUGUACAAGAGCAAGUGAGAUAAAAUGAGGAACAGAAACAUUUGAAUACUCUGAUUUUGAAAUAAAAUAGUAAAGCAACAUAACUUUUUAUAGUCUCCUCCAAUCCACAAAGCCCAGCCAAAAGCAGAGAGUUUUUUGGUUUUUGUUUUUUUUUUUAAUCUGUGGAAAAGUAAUAGAAUGUGGGAUAAAACAGCCUGGGAGAAGGGAUUUAGUAGAGCUAAAGUCAAUACAACUAACUGAGAAUGCAAGUGCUUUUUUGGUAGAAGACACAAUGGCUCCUUCACUGCACAAGGGAAUGAGGGCUUGGACUGCAGUGACCAAUCUGAAGCCAAAAAGAAAGACUGGGGUGUUUAGGCCUUUCACCUGGGACAGAGAAAGAUAUUUUAAUCCAGAUCUACUAAAUCUCAGCAAGCACUGUUUCCUAGAUUCUGGAGCCACCUUCCUCCUCCAGUGAAUGUUUAACUAUUUGACGUAGAACAGCUGAAGAGAAAAACAGCGAAAAUUAGUCUGCAAAUAACCUGUAAUCUGUGAAAUUAUAUUUUUUGGUUGCUAGUUGUAAGCAAAGCAGAAAGACAAGUCUGGAGAAGUUUGAAAUCAUAAAAACGUGUGUUGGAGAAGGAAACAGUUUCUCAUAUGUGCUUCUGUAACAGGGCUCCACAAUUCACACCAUCUUUCUUCAGCUUCUUCCAGAGCUUUCCCAUUAUACAGUCUGAGUCUGUCAUGUGAGUCUUUUCUCUGAUUCUGUAACUUCCAAGAUAGACUAAAUUAAGGGAAGGUUGAGCCUAGUGUCCUUAAAAGAUGGCUUGCUAUGUGACAAACCUCAAAUAUUAUUUUCUCAUACAAUGUAAAUAGUACCGUGCUUCUGGAAAUCUCUAGUCCAGAUUAAUGUUGAGAAUAGAUGCUUCCUAAAUAGUUUAUUUGUUG